Molecule: ribosomal RNA, 271 nt
Filed under: Enterococcus faecalis
Lineage: Bacteria; Bacillati; Bacillota; Bacilli; Lactobacillales; Enterococcaceae
Description: partial 16S ribosomal RNA
Rfam family: Bacterial small subunit ribosomal RNA
Source: RNAcentral
AUGAGAGUUUGAUCCUGGCUCAGGACGAACGCUGGCGGCGUGCCUAAUACAUGCAAGUCGAACGCUUCUUUCCUCCCGAGUGCUUGCACUCAAUUGGAAAGAGGAGUGGCGGACGGGUGAGUAACACGUGGGUAACCUACCCAUCAGAGGGGGAUAACACUUGGAAACAGGUGCUAAUACCGCAUAACAGUUUAUGCCGCAUGGCAUAAGAGUGAAAGGCGCUUUCGGGUGUCGCUGAUGGAUGGACCCGCGGUGCAUUAGCUAGUUGGUG